GUGACAAUGCUCCUUUUUGCAGUGAGCACAGUGGUGUCUCUCCAUAGAAAUCUUCAUGUCCAGAAUCAUCAACUUGCCAGCUUGCACUGUUUUCCUGUGAAAGCUGAUGCCCAGGCUGGGCUUCUGCCAUUUAUACCUGUGUUUCACGGUUGAGGAUAUAAAAUAAGAUCUGGCCUUUUCUUGUCCUGUGGACAUGUUUGCCUCCUAAUUCUUAAGGUGCCAGUGUUUAGUAUUUGUUGCCCAGCAAGGAGCUCACGUAGGCUGCGUCUGUAUUGCAAGGAAGCAGUGCCUUUGAGAGAUCCCUGAGGUGGCUGGAGGCUGCACAAAGUUGUGCUGCUGUGUUGAGGGACUGGCCUAGGCUUUGGGUGCAGGAUGGCUGCAUGGACAGGCAAAACAUGUCACACAACUGCUGCUGUCUCCCAUGUUUCUGUGGGGCUUUGGUCUACCUGGCUGCUAAGUGGGAGUGUAAUCCUCCAGACAUUUCAAAAGAGGGAGGAGAAAUACCACUAAUCUUGGAACACUGCAGUUAAGACUCUGGAGCAAGAACAGUAUCCACUUCCUAGCUUCGCCAUGGCAAGAAUGACCUCAGAGACCUCCUGAGACCUCUUGUCCACAUUUCACUGUUUAAGGGACCAGUGUGCAUGUGACCCUGUAACAUUGUAAACCGCCGCUGAAGUGUGUCCCUUAUAACUGGUGUUUGAAGAUGGGAACAGUCUACGACCCUUCAGAAGAAUUUUGGCUCCAUCCUCCUGAAUGUGGCUCUGAAGGAUCUCAGAAAAGUGACCACUGCCAGAAGGCAGGAGACAUUGGCCUGUGCUAGAUCCCAGCCUACCUUCUCCAGUCCUAUGGAGAGCAGAGGCUGCUCUGGUUCUGCAUUCCCAGCAGCAUCUCCCGGUCACAGCGGCUGGAUAAAGGACAGCAGCCCCAGGUUUUGCUUCGAGAACUUAAUCUGCACUGUCGUCCCUCAUUACUGCCACUCAGCGCCGUUGUGUCCAGCCAUGAAGGGUCACAAGAUGACAUGACAUGAGAGAGGUCGGGCGGGGGGAGAGCAUAAAAGGGGCCUAGCAAGGACCGGGAAAUAUGGAAAGGCUAAAAAGAGAACAGCUACCCAAGCGGUGCUCCCGGCGGCUCGCUGGGGAUGGGGCUGAAAGCGACUGGGUUCACACUAAGUUUUCCCGGAGGUCACUCUGCAAUAUGGUAACUCCCAGCUCUGCUGUCAGUGCCCAUAAAGACAGCUCUCCUCACAGGGAGUGGGGGGGAAGGGAAGGAGAUUUGUUUAGAAGCAUUAGUGUGCCCCUCCCCCGGCCCCAUUAGCGGCCCUUAUUAAACCAACACAGACAAAGAGCAAAGAUGCCCUCGUUAAUGGAGAGUCUCCGAUAAUUACUCUGCUCUGCCGCUUCUUUUGGGGCCUGAAUGGCCUUUGAAUAAUGUUUCUCUUGCUGUGGUUGCAGACAAUACCCUCGCAGACCGCUUUAAGCGGUGCCAAUCCCAUUAGCAGAAGAAUAGCAGAGCUUUCUGGUUGCGCGGGUGUGUGCGCUCUCGGGGAGGACGGCGGGCUCUCAGUGGGAACGGGGCUACGCUGCCCACCGCUUCCCUCGCCUCUCUUGGCCUCCACGGCCCGAGAAAGCAAAGCAGGGAAAUGCUGGGCGAAGCUCCAUCUCCGCAACAAUCAUCUCCCUAUUUAAGCAGGGCCCGAGCCUGGGAAUUUGAGAGGGCCGCUCUGCCUCUCGCUGCAGGAGCGCAGAGACGGGCUCGUCUGCUCGCCAAAAGGGAAGGAUGGGAAGAGCAGGGAGGUAGGAGCCCCGCAGGACUGAAGAAGAGGAGUGCCUUCAGCCUUUCCUGGGGUUCCCCAGGCACAGUUCUCCUCCUGCACCCACGCAAGGCACCAAAGGGGACAGAGGCCCAAGAGUCUCGAAAAUCAGACUCGGGCUGUGCUGCUGCUUUACCAUACAGAGGAGAUUAGGUGAUGGUCGUUCCUCUGCAUCCAGUUGAUUACAGAGCAAGGAAAUGGCUAUACUGGCCACUCUUGGGAGGGUUAAUUUUGUGCUGCACACCCCAAGCAGGAAGCUAAUUACUGCGUUCAAUAGGUAGCUAUCAACCAAACUUGGAGGAGUUGGAAUAACUCUACCUGAGCCUUUCUCUUUGAUCUCCCCUUCUGCAUGAUAAGUGAAAAUAGUGUAUAGCUGGGCUGGCUGCGGUGUUUAAUUUAAUCAUCUGAUGAUAUUUAUUUUCACAAACAUGAACUCAAGGAACAAUUAUCGGAAAAGCUUCAUCUUGUGCUGAACGUGGCAGUUAACAGCCUUUCUGUGAGGUAAUAGCUUCCAUGUAGGGAGUCAGUAAUUAAAACGUGUGAAAAAAGGCUCCUUCUUCAGAGGCAGCGGGGAAAGACAGCGGGUCUAACGCUCAGCUGGUGUGAACUGGCAAGCUUGUCAAUGGCCACAAUAAACGGGCAUUGCUCCUUCUACAUUAUGCCAGCAAAGGAUGCGCCCAAAGAAUUUUUGAGAAUUUUCCCAGUUUGAGCAAGAUAUUUGGAUUCUUAUCACAGGAGCCAAACUUGGGAAUGCAUGGUACAAUUAUCUGGUCUUUGGAAGGCGAUUCUGCAGUACUCAUGGGAGAUGUUCAGAUCUGAAGAACACUUGGUCCUGCAAACUCUUCCACAAGGAAAGCAGCUAAGUUUCUAGUGUUAACAGAGCCAUUUUCUCCCUCUUUCUGUGUUAACUCUCUAAACUUGCAGAAUCAUAAUCUAAAAGCCAAGAGAAAGCUGACAUUUGAGACGUUCCAAGUAGCAGGAAGAUGACUUCCUUUACGUCUUCAUCGUGUAGAUGUAUAGGGCACAAUUUGUUUACUCGUCCAGUUAACCACCAGAUGGCUCUAAGCACUCUGCUCAGUUUUGGGCCACGUGUUGAUGGUUGAUGAGCAAGGGGCACAAAGCUGGAAGUCAGGCUGUAUGGACGGUUCUGUUGGAUAGCCACCACCAUGUCUUUAACCAGUAUAUCUUUAAUCAGUACAUCAUGAAACAGCUCAUGAUUUCAUGUUGGAGGAAGGUGAUAUGUUUCAAUGAUGAAAAUUGCAAAAUAUGGAGGUUGCAUUUUUAAAUAUAUAUGUACAUAUAUAUAGUAAUAACAAUUUUUGUCCAAGUUUAAUAUUCCUUCAGAAUUAGUGUGUUAUCCUGCAGCUUUUAAGGAUAAUGUUGGUCAUUUAUGCUCUUCCACUGGCACACAGAGUGCAGGAAGAUAAUUCUCUACCAGACUAGAGGAAGAAAAUGCAGAUUCACCUGUUCUCCAAUUCAGUUGUUUUAUGCUGUGGUAGAGGGAUAUGUGAUGGACCACAGAUAUAAAAUGUGAUUUAGGAAGGGGAUGGCAUCUUUUCCUGCUCUCAAUAAAAAGGUGACAGUUGUUUAAAAAAUACUUCUCAGAUAGAAUUUAAAACUUGAACCUAAACUGUUCCUUAGCAGCCAAUGUAAGAAAGGUGCAUGUUAAUUGCAUUUUGCCUAGGAAAUGGAAAGUGUUGCCCAUCCCAGUACAUUUUCAAAACGUUUCCAGAAGGUAAGAACAGAGUUAAGAGUAUGUAGAGCUGGGAAAUAUGUUCCUUAGGGAGCUGAGAAGGACAAAAUAUCAGACCAGUGUCAGCCUCUUUAUGUGUUCCUUCUCUUUCUUUGGGGAACACAGUGUUUCCUAGACCCUACAGUGCACCAGGC
Long non-coding RNA from Pezoporus occidentalis (night parrot), 3697 nucleotides. RefSeq lists it as uncharacterized. The transcript has 4 exons. Lineage: Eukaryota; Metazoa; Chordata; Aves; Psittaciformes; Psittacidae. The record is from RefSeq and is a predicted model, not a curated record.